GGCUACAUCGUCACAAACAUGUCUGACUUCCGUUCGAAACGCCAUUGUGUUCCGGAUUGAUAACAUUAUGUCGUGGUACAAAAUAGCUAUACACAGUUUAAUUGAACUCUUCUAACUAAGGAGACGAGAUAGGACUGAAAUCACCAAAACGCUUAGAAAACAUGUCAAUUUUCUUCCUGUUUAUAGCUUUUAACUAACAUUGAUUAUCAGCUGUUUUGUACGGAAAACGUGGACUCUAAAUAAUAUACCGUUUCCCUGCUCUGCUGCUAUUGGCAAUACAUUUUUUUCAUGUCAUCUGCAACAGACGAUCAUACAUAUGUGGCGGAUUAUCGAUAUAGAUACAGCUAGGUAGCAAUAGCAGUGGAAGCCCGGAUUUGCAAGCAAAAUAAGGGAAAGACAGGAUUCUGAAAAGGAGCAUGUUUUUCAUUUCCACACAUGCAUGUGUAUCACUAUGGACAUCUAAUGUUUUUGUGGGAUUUUGUCCAGCAGUUUGCCUUAACAGAAUUUUUUUAUAUUUUAGUUUCAUAUUUAUGUGGAUUCCAAUAAAAAUCAUACAAACUUCA
Molecule: long non-coding RNA, 563 nt
Organism: Magallana angulata
Lineage: Eukaryota; Metazoa; Mollusca; Bivalvia; Ostreida; Ostreidae
Exons: 3
Source: RefSeq, a predicted model, not a curated record